AUAUUUUUGGUUUAACCUGCCCAAUGUGAAAAUGAAUGGCCGCGGUACUCUGACCGUGCUAAGGUAGCGUAAUCAGUUGGCUUUUAAAUGGAGUCAGGUAUGAAUGGGAAAACCUGGUCCAGCUGUCUCGAAAUUAAUUACUUGAAUUUACUGUUUAAGUGAAAAAGCUUAAGCUUGAAAAAGGGACGAGAAGACCCUUAGAAUUUUAUUUAAAGAAGCUUUACUUCUACAAUUUUGUUGGGGCGACAGAGAAAUAAUAAAAACUUUCUUUUAUAGACAAGCCGAUUUUUUUAAGAGAGAAUAAAUUACCUGAGGGAUAACAGCAUAAUUCUAUAACUGAGUUUGUGACCUCGAUGUUGGACUAGGAAACUAGCAGGCUAGCCGUUUGCUGUGUGGGUUCUGUUCGAACUAUAAUUCCU
RNAcentral lists this ribosomal RNA (419 nucleotides) under Learchis poica. RNAcentral's name for it is "partial 16S ribosomal RNA". It matches the Rfam family "Bacterial large subunit ribosomal RNA", at positions 1841 to 2597 of the family's 2925-position model. Lineage: Eukaryota; Metazoa; Mollusca; Gastropoda; Nudibranchia; Facelinidae. The record is from RNAcentral.